GGGGGGGGGUGUCGGGAUCCUGGACGUAAAGAGCUCGUAGGCGGUUCGGUAAGUCGGAUGUGAAAUCUCCACGCUCAACGUGGAGGGGCCAUUCGAUACUGCCGUGACUCGAGUCCGGUAGGGGAGUGUGGAAUUCCCGGUGUAGCGGUGAAAUGCGCAGAGAUCGGGAGGAACACCCGUAGCGAAGGCGGCACUCUGGGCCGGUACUGACGCUGAGGAGCGAAAGCGUGGGGAGCGAACAGGAUUAGAUACCCUGGUAGUCCACGCCGUAAACGUUGGGCACUAGGUGUGGGACUCUAUCGACGGGUUCCGUGCCGUAGCUAACGCAUUAAGUGCCCCGCCUGGGGAGUACGGCCGCAAGGCUAAAACUCAAAGGAAUUGACGGGGGCCCGCACAAGCGGUGGAGCAUGUGGUUCAAUUCGACGCAACGCGAAGAACCUUACCUGGGCUCGAAGCGCAGUCGACAGGGGUGGAAACACCCUUUCCCGCAAGGGCGGCUGCGUAGGUGCUGCAUGGCUGUCGUCAGCUCGUGUCGUGAGAUGUUGGGUUAAGUCCCGCAACGAGCGCAACCCUUAUCACUAGUUGCCAUCACGUAAAGGUGGGCACUCUAGAGAAACCGCCCCGGAUAACGGGGAGGAAGGUGGGGAUGACGUCAAGUCCUCAUGGCCUUUAUGUCCAGGGCUACACACGUGCUACAAUGGCCGGUACAAACCGUCGCAAACCCGCGAGGGGGAGCUAAUCGGAAAAAGCCGGCCUUAGUUCGGAUUGGAGUCUGCAACUCGACUCCAUGAAGCCGGAAUCGCUAGUAAUCGCAGAUCAGCACGCUGCGGUGAAUACGUUCCCGGGCCUUGUACACACCGCCCGUCACAUCACGAAAGUGGGCUGUACUAGAAGCCGGUGGGCUGACCCGCAAGGGGAGUAGCCGUCCAAGGUAUAGCUCAUGAUUGGGGUGAAGUCGUAACAAGGUAACC
This 971-nucleotide ribosomal RNA is filed under the name uncultured bacterium. Its description in RNAcentral is "bacterial SSU rRNA". It matches the Rfam family "Bacterial small subunit ribosomal RNA", at positions 533 to 1501 of the family's 1533-position model. The record is from RNAcentral.